Long non-coding RNA from Triticum dicoccoides, 925 nucleotides. RefSeq lists it as uncharacterized. The record is from RefSeq and is a predicted model, not a curated record. Lineage: Eukaryota; Viridiplantae; Streptophyta; Magnoliopsida; Poales; Poaceae. The transcript is spliced from 2 exons.
GCCACCGGCGACCGCAUCCCCUGGCUCGGCAGCACGUGACCAGGAUCCCCCAUCUCCCAGCAAACCUCGCUGGUGCACGCCACCUCCCUCCUCCUAAGGUGCUCCCCGUCCGAUCCACUCCACUGGUGUCCACGCCCCGACGCCACCGGUUUGGAGCGGUGUGAACUUCGAACAGAUCAGUGGUUGGUAGUUAACUGCACCAACGCGACUGACGCCACCUCGCACGCGUUUGUCUUCGUCGACGGCGAUCAGCACCUCCAACGCAAAUCGAUUCAGCGCCGUCUAUGCACGGCUCGGCUCCUGCGCUUUGUUGCCGCCACGGGACGCAGUGCACCUCCCGUCCUCUGCUUUUCUCCGUGGGAAACUGUCUGCCUCGUGUCGCCGCUUGCCCCUGCUACUGCUGGGAAUAACCUAUCCUGCAACGCCCUGUACUCAAGCUGUACCCAUGCUCUCUUUGGUCUCAUGCACCAUCCCUACGGCAGCGAAGCUUCCCUUGGACCGGCCGCCAUGCAUCAAACUGAACUGCUGAGUUCAUUCCCCCAAAGUCCUACUGAGCGUACAGUAAAGAAGCGUACCCCGAACUCCUCCAUUACUUAACAAUAUGGUGUGCUUUCUGAUGGAACUGACUCGCAGUAAACUAGGCAAAAAGUCUCAUGUUUACGUGGAGACAAAAUAGUGUCCUUAAUCACCCUAUGUGUGUAGCAAUCGCUAGCUUCAAAACAGAGGCGUGUGCGUGUUCGUGCAUGUAAUUUAAGAAGAUGCAACCAGCGAGAUAGUGGACAAAAGGAGAAGUGAUUUAAGCUGGGCCAUAGGUGAGAAGAGAUAAGUUGGGCCCAAAAAAAGUUGAUUUACGGCCAUGUUGGCCAAUAUGAUUUUAGAUUUAGAAAGUAUACAUGGUGAAAAAUAAAUCAGCGGACAAUAGUUA